This 413-nucleotide ribosomal RNA is filed under the name uncultured bacterium. RNAcentral's name for it is "bacterial SSU rRNA". It matches the Rfam family "Bacterial small subunit ribosomal RNA", at positions 8 to 435 of the family's 1533-position model. The record is from RNAcentral.
AGAGUUUGAUCCUGGCUCAGAAUCAACGCUGGCGGCGCGCUUAACACAUGCAAGUCGCACGAGAAAGUGGAGCAAUCCAUGAGUAAAGUGGCGUACGGGUGAGUAACACGUGGAUCAUCUACCUCUUAGUGGGGAAUAACCCUGGGAAACCGGGGCUAAUACCGCAUAAGCCUGUAAAGGGAAAGCAGCAAUGCGCUGAGAGAGGAGUCCGCGGCCGAUUAGCUAGUUGGUAGGGUAAUGGCCUACCAAGGCAAUGAUCGGUAGCCGGCCUGAGAGGGCACACGGCCACACUGGCACUGAAACACGGGCCAGACUCCUACGGGAGGCAGCAGUGGGGAAUCUUGCACAAUGGAGGAAACUCUGAUGCAGCGACGCCGCGUGAGCGAUGAAGCCCUUCGGGGUGUAAAGCUCUU